Molecule: ribosomal RNA, 253 nt
Filed under: uncultured bacterium
Lineage: Bacteria
Description: partial 16S ribosomal RNA
Rfam family: Bacterial small subunit ribosomal RNA
Source: RNAcentral
UACAGAGGGUGCAAGCGUUGUUCGGAAUUAUUGGGCGUAAAGCGCGUGUAGGCGGCUUUGCAGGUCGGGUGUGAAAGCCCUCAGUUCAACUGAGGAAGUGCGCCCGAAACUGCAGAGCUUGAGUGCCGGAGAGGGUGGCGGAAUUCCCCAAGUAGAGGUGAAAUUCGUAGAUAUGGGGAGGAACACCGGUGGCGAAGGCGGCCACCUGGACGGUAACUGACGCUGAGGCGCGAAAGCGUGGGGAGCAAACAGG